GGACGAACGCUGGCGGCGUGCCUAAUACAUGCAAGUAGAACGCUGAAGGAGGAGCUUGCUUCUCUGGAUGAGUUGCGAACGGGUGAGUAACGCGUAGGUAACCUGCCUGGUAGCGGGGGAUAACUAUUGGAAACGAUAGCUAAUACCGCAUAAUAGUAGAUGUCGCAUGACAUUUGCUUAAAAGGUGCAAUUGCAUCACUACCAGAUGGACCUGCGUUGUAUUAGCUAGUUGGUGAGGUAACGGCUCACCAAGGCAACGAUACAUAGCCGACCUGAGAGGGUGAUCGGCCACACUGGGACUGAGACACGGCCCAGACUCCUACGGGAGGCAGCAGUAGGGAAUCUUCGGCAAUGGACGGAAGUCUGACCGAGCAACGCCGCGUGAGUGAAGAAGGUUUUCGGAUCGUAAAGCUCUGUUGUAAGAGAAGAACGAGUGUGAGAGUGGAAAGUUCACACUGUGACGGUAUCUUACCAGAAAGGGACGGCUAACUACGUG
RNAcentral lists this ribosomal RNA (496 nucleotides) under uncultured bacterium. Its description in RNAcentral is "partial 16S ribosomal RNA". It matches the Rfam family "Bacterial small subunit ribosomal RNA", at positions 27 to 507 of the family's 1533-position model. The record is from RNAcentral.